This 475-nucleotide ribosomal RNA is filed under the name Acidithiobacillus ferrooxidans. RNAcentral's name for it is "bacterial SSU rRNA". It matches the Rfam family "Bacterial small subunit ribosomal RNA", at positions 35 to 507 of the family's 1533-position model. Lineage: Bacteria; Pseudomonadati; Pseudomonadota; Acidithiobacillia; Acidithiobacillales; Acidithiobacillaceae. The record is from RNAcentral.
GCUGGCGGCAUGCCUAACACAUGCAAGUCGAACGGUAACAGGUCUUCGGAUGCUGACGAGUGGCGGACGGGUGAGUAAUGCGUAGGAAUCUGUCUUUUAGUGGGGGACAACCCAGGGAAACUUGGGCUAAUACCGCAUGAGCCCUGAGGGGGAAAGCGGGGGAUCUUCGGACCUCGCGCUAAGAGAGGAGCCUACGUCCGAUUAGCUAGUUGGCGGGGUAAAGGCCCACCAAGGCGACGAUCGGUAGCUGGUCUGAGAGGACGACCAGCCACACUGGGACUGAGACACGGCCCAGACUCCUACGGGAGGCAGCAGUGGGGAAUUUUUCGCAAUGGGGGCAACCCUGACGAAGCAAUGCCGCGUGGAUGAAGAAGGCCUUCGGGUUGUAAAGUCCUUUCGUGGAGGACGAAAAGGUGGGUUCUAAUACAAUCUGCUAUUGACGUGAAUCCAAGAAGAAGCACCGGCUAACUCCGUG